Molecule: ribosomal RNA, 503 nt
Filed under: uncultured bacterium
Lineage: Bacteria
Description: partial 16S ribosomal RNA
Rfam family: Bacterial small subunit ribosomal RNA
Source: RNAcentral
AUUGAACGCUGGUGUCAGGCUUAACACAUGCAAGUCGAGCGGGGUGAUGGUGCUUGCACUAUCACUUAGCGGCGGACGGGUGAGUAAUGCUUAGGAAUCUGCCUAUUAGUGGGGGACAACAUCUCGAAAGGGAUGCUAAUACCGCAUACGUCCUACGGGAGAAAGCAGGGGAUCACUUGUGACCUUGCGCUAAUAGAUGAGCCUACGUCGGAGUAGCUAGUUGGUGGGGUAAAGGCCGACCAAGGCGACGAUCUGUAGCGGGUCUGAGAGGAUGAUCCGCCACACUGGGACUGAGACACGGCACAGACUCCUACGGGAGGCAGCAGUGGGGAAUAUUUGACAAUGGGGGGAACCCUGAUCCAGCCAUGCCGCGUGUGUGGAGAAGGCCUUAUGGUUGUAAAGCACUUUAAGCGAGGAGGAGGCUCUUUUGGUUAAUACCCAAGAUGAGUGGACGUUACUCGCAGAAUAAGCACCGGCUAACUCUGUGCCAGCCGCCGCGGUAA